RNAcentral lists this ribosomal RNA (429 nucleotides) under uncultured bacterium. RNAcentral's name for it is "bacterial SSU rRNA". It matches the Rfam family "Bacterial small subunit ribosomal RNA", at positions 355 to 776 of the family's 1533-position model. The record is from RNAcentral.
UGGGGAAUCUUCCGCAAUGGACGAAAGUCUGACGGAGCAACGCCGCGUGAGUGAUGAAGGCCCUUGGGUCGUAAAGCUCUGUUAUCUGGGAAGAAUGUAUUUAAUGUAAAUAGCAUUAGAUAAUGACGGUACCAGAGGAGGAAGCCACGGCUAACUACGUGCCAGCAGCCGCGGUAAUACGUAGGUGGCAAGCGUUGUCCGGAAUUAUUGGGCGUAAAGCGCGCGCAGGUGGGAAGGUAAGUCUGUCGUAAAAGAACAGAGCUCAACUCUGUUAAGCGAUGGAAACUGUCUUUCUUGAGUACAGGAGAGGAAAGUGGAAUUCCCAGUGUAGCGGUGAAAUGCGUAGAUAUUGGGAGGAACACCAGUGGCGAAGGCGGCUUUCUGGACUGUGUCUGACACUGAGGCGCGAAAGCUAGGGAAGUGAACGGG